This 253-nucleotide ribosomal RNA is filed under the name uncultured bacterium. RNAcentral's name for it is "partial 16S ribosomal RNA". It matches the Rfam family "Bacterial small subunit ribosomal RNA", at positions 524 to 776 of the family's 1533-position model. The record is from RNAcentral.
UACGUAGGGUGCAAGCGUUGUCCGGAAUUAUUGGGCGUAAAGAGCUCGUAGGCGGUUUGUUGCGUCGGCUGUGAAAUCCCGAGGCUCAACCUCGGGUCUGCAGUGGGUACGGGCAGACUAGAGUGAUGUAGGGGAGACUGGAAUUCCUGGUGUAGCGGUGAAAUGCGCAGAUAUCAGGAGGAACACCGAUGGCGAAGGCAGGUCUCUGGGCAUUAACUGACGCUGAGGAGCGAAAGCAUGGGGAGCGAACAGG